UACGGAGGGUGCGAGCGUUGUCCGGAAUCACUGGGCGUAAAGGGCGCGUAGGCGGUCUGCUAAGCGUGCGGUGAAAGCCCCCGGCUCAACCGGGGAACUGCAGGGCAUACUGCGAGCCUUGAGGUAACUAGAGGCGGGCAGAACGAUAGGAGGAGCGGUGGAAUGCGUAGAGAUCUAUCGGAAUGCCGAAGGUGAAGACAGCCCGCUGGGGUUUACCUGACGCUGAGGCACGAAAGCGUGGGGAGCAAACAGG
This 253-nucleotide ribosomal RNA is filed under the name uncultured bacterium. RNAcentral describes it as "partial 16S ribosomal RNA". It matches the Rfam family "Bacterial small subunit ribosomal RNA", at positions 524 to 776 of the family's 1533-position model. The record is from RNAcentral.